This 715-nucleotide ribosomal RNA is filed under the name uncultured Capnocytophaga sp. Its description in RNAcentral is "bacterial SSU rRNA". It matches the Rfam family "Bacterial small subunit ribosomal RNA", at positions 62 to 779 of the family's 1533-position model. The record is from RNAcentral. Lineage: Bacteria; Pseudomonadati; Bacteroidota; Flavobacteriia; Flavobacteriales; Flavobacteriaceae.
UCGAGGGAUAAGCCCUUCGGGGUGGAAACCGGCGCACGGGUGCGUAACGCGUAUGCAACCUACCUUUCACAGGGGGAUAGCCCGAAGAAAUUUGGAUUAAUACCCCAUAAUAUUGUUGGAUGGCAUCAUCUGAUAAUUAAAGUUACGAUGGUGAAAGAUGGGCAUGCGUCCUAUUAGCUAGUUGGAGUGGUAACGGCACCCCAAGGCUACGAUAGGUAGGGGUCCUGAGAGGGAGAUCCCCCACACUGGUACUGAGACAGGGACCAGACUCCUACGGGAGGCAGCAGUGAGGAAUAUUGGUCAAUGGUCGAAAGACUGAACCAGCCAUGCCGCGUGCAGGACAGACGGCCCUAGAGGUUGUAAACUGCUUUUAUAUGGGAAGAAUAAGGAGUACGCGUACUUUGAUGACGGUACCAUAUGAAUAAGCAUCGGCUAACUCCGUGCCAGCAGCCGCGGUAAUACGGAGGAUGCGAGCGUUAUUCGGAAUCAUUGGGUUUAAAGGGUCUGUAGGCGGGCUAUUAAGUCAGGGGUGAAAGGUUUCAGCUUAACUGAGAAAUUGCCUUUGAUACUGGUAGUCUUGAAUAUCUGUGAAGUUCUUGGAAUGUGUAGUGUAGCGGUGAAAUGCUUAGAUAUUACACAGAACACCGAUUGCGGAGGCAGGGGACUAACAGACGAUUGACGCUGAGAGACGAAAGCGUGGGGAGCGAACAGGAUU